AUCUUGCGAUGUUGCGCCUCUGGGUUUAGAAACUCUGUAAUUUGGUCUAUAAAAGAGGGUGUCAGACGCCAGUCUACAUCUUGGUAGAGAUUCAUCUCAUACUUUCUGGCAUAUCAUUGGCUUCUAUUUUGAACUAUUUUGUUCUAUUGUGAACAUCUACUUGUGAUUUUUGUUUGGUUGACAUCCAUCGGCAAACUUCGUUGACUUAAGAAAGUCAGAGACCUACAAGAUCAACAAGAGAAUGGGUGGAGAUGCAUCAAAAGAGCGAGCGGAUCAGGCAGAGAGAGACCGCGAUCAAGCCAAAACUGAUAAACAGAAAGCGGAGGAGGAAAGGAAAAAGACAGAAGAGGAUUACAGGCAGCUCUAUGCUGAGAAAGUGAGAAUGGAAACAGAACAAAAGAUGGAAGAAAAACAAAGACAGGAGCGCGAGAACCAAAGACAAAAAUUUAUGGAACACAAUAGACAGCGAGAGAAAGAUGAAAGAACAAGAAUUCAGCUGGAAAAAGAGAUUGUAAAAGGAGAUCAGAAAACUGCAUAAAAUGUAUCCACAUAUUAAGAGACAAAGGCAUAAACGGUUAAAUGAUCCACAUAAUGAAUUAUUGAACAAAGCACACAAUCAUUGUAUACCUUUUAAUAUCCACAAAAACAAUGUCUGUCAAUAUCUGAGAAUCCUCUGUAGCUUUGCAAUAAAUAGAUUCUAUUGAUG
Long non-coding RNA from Oncorhynchus nerka (sockeye salmon), 706 nucleotides. RefSeq lists it as uncharacterized. The transcript has 2 exons. The record is from RefSeq and is a predicted model, not a curated record. Lineage: Eukaryota; Metazoa; Chordata; Actinopteri; Salmoniformes; Salmonidae.